AGGAUUAAUGCUGUAGGUACAGAGCGCAACCUUGUUGAUACGAAAAGGAAAUGGAUCGAAGUGAAGAGUUUAACAAAGAAUAAAAGCCAAGACAUAGUCAAGCAAGUCGUGCUACUGGUGGAGGGGCCACCACCAUCAAACUACAUGUUUGUGAUGAAAAGAUACUGACAGUUAUACCAAUCUGCUCUAUCUCUGGUGUAAAUGUUCAUGGGGACAUAUUUCUAAUGAACUCCAUUGUUUUUCCCAUUGAUGAGUCCACAUCAAGUGAUGCGCCAGUGGAUUCUGAACAAUGUAUGAAUUUUUACAUAUACAAUCUAUUAUUUAAAUCUUUAAAUAUAAUAUCAAUUGUGCUUUCGAUAUGCAUAUUUAGAUAAUGUUUUUUGCAAAUGACAUAA
Dreissena polymorpha is the source of this 395-nucleotide long non-coding RNA. RefSeq lists it as uncharacterized. The transcript has 4 exons. Lineage: Eukaryota; Metazoa; Mollusca; Bivalvia; Myida; Dreissenidae. The record is from RefSeq and is a predicted model, not a curated record.